RNAcentral lists this ribosomal RNA (250 nucleotides) under uncultured bacterium. RNAcentral's name for it is "partial 16S ribosomal RNA". It matches the Rfam family "Bacterial small subunit ribosomal RNA", at positions 355 to 622 of the family's 1533-position model. The record is from RNAcentral.
UAGGGAAUCUUGCGCAAUGGGCGAAAGCCUGACGCAGCAAUGCCGCGUGCGGGACGAAGGCCCUAGGGUCGUAAACCGCUUUCAGUAGGGACGAAAAUGACGGUACCUGCAGAAGAAGCUCCGGCCAACUACGUGCCAGCAGCCGCGGUGAUACGUAGGGAGCAAGCGUUGUCCGGAAUUACUGGGCGUAAAGGGCUCGUAGGUGGUUGAGUAAGUCAGAUGUGAAAUCUCAGGGCCCAACCCUGAGCCU